GGGGCAGCCGGGAGGCGGGAGAAGCGAGCUGCCCCGGCGGCCUCUCACCUGUGUCGUCCCCUCUCGUCUGGGCGGCCGCGCUGCUGUUGUGGUAGGACUGGAGUUGCUGAGACACAAGGAAAACCCACUCCUUUGGAGGAGCAUGGCCUUUUUCUAUAUUGCUUCCCACCGCUGCCAGCGAGCUUCUUGAACCCUGGUCCUUGGACACCCUCAGCAAGAAGAGCAUGUGGAUGGGCUACCUACCCCUGAGAAAAGAGGACCCCCAGUUGCAGUUUCUAACUAGAUGGCCUUCUUCAUUCCAAGUGAUGGCUGCCAUCAGGGUCAGAUUAAAGACAGACUGACUGGACAGCUGCUUGGAGGACUAACCAAGAGGGGCACCGAAAUGUCCCCAGUGUGCCAACACAUCCGUGGAAACUGAAGGAGACGGAAAAGAACACCGGCACUUCUCUUAGGGACAAUUCUGUGUGGGGCUGGAAGGAAUGGUUUGACAAAUUCCUUAGGGGUGGAAGGUAGGGAGUAAUAAGAAGAUUGAGGAGAAUGGGGGUGUUUUACUGAGGGGUCCUGUUUUUCCUACUGGGAUGUAAACACUGGGAGCCCCGGCCGGAUUGUGUGUAACCAUGGAUGGUAAGCAGACUGCCCUAGUCAUCCCCCUGCUUGCCUUUUCCUCAUGCAGAGCUCAGUGUGUGCUCUAGUGCCAAGAUCCGGCAAGUAGUGGUUUGAAGGAGACACCAAUUUAUGGCCUGCACACCUCUGCUCUGUACUCUAGGUUGAAGACAGAGUCAUAAACUCUUUAUCUUUCAGUUCUAGGAUGUUAGCCUUGGGUGUGUUUUCAUUGCCUUGGGGGCGAGGGUUGUUAAUAGAGAAGGUCAAGUCAACUGGAGCUUAAACUCUUUGCCAGUGGGUCAGCUGAUCAGACCCUGUGCUGGGUUAAUUAGAUCAAUGGAGACAGCAGGUGGAAUUUGGAUCUUUAAAAAUAUUUGACUAAUGGGUGAUAUUACUGGCUAUUUGUAAAUGAGGACAUCGAGGAAUGUUCUUGGAAUCAUGAACUAUGGAACUGAUGGUCAAGUUCAGUAAUUCGACAAAUAGUUAAAUACCAGCCGGACACUGUGAAGACCUAGCAGCAAGAUAGACAUGCUACUUCCCUCAUGGAGCUUACAUCUUCAUUUUCUCUGCUUGACAUGAAGAACAGUGGCCACAGCAAACAAGUGACCACAAAGAUAUUUCCAAUCCCAGGAUUCCAAUUAAUGAAGUGAUUCCUAUGUCCUUAAUCAUGCCUAGUAGCCAUGCUAUUAUAAGUCUGUGUUCUAUAAAUGCUCUGUGAACCAGUGUGACUGUCUCCCUAGCAAGCUGUAUAAGGUCCCAUGGUGUGAGGGAAAGGGGCAAGUGUCAGGAAGGUCCCUCGGGAGGGAGAUAUUAAGUGACUUGGGUCAGGAAAUAAGAAGGGGUAGAAUUCAGGGACAAGCCAUUGCUUUUAUUCUAUGUAGGAAAACUGCAGUGUGAGAAAUGCUGGGCUGGAAAAUGAGAGACCCGGGUCUUAGUCUUUAUUCUGUUACUAACAAGGUUUGUGGCUGUGGGCGAGUCACAUCACCUUCCAGUUGGAGGCUUCUUGGGUGACUCCAAGACCCCUUCUAGCUCCAAACAUGUUAACCCCAGGCUCCAGACUACUGGACAGCUGGCCAGUGUCUGCCUUUCCUAUUCCUAAGCUGUCAGGUCAACUAGAUCCUCAAUAGUCACUUGACUAUCUUUUCUUAUUUUUGGAGGGGUGUUUAUCAACCUUGCAGGAUACAAUGAGUCUGCCUUUCUCCUUUGGAGUUGAGAAAAUUCUAGAAGCAUACCCUGUAGAGCCCAUGGGGGUGCAUUCCCUCCUUUUUAUCAUUUUUUCUAUCCUUGCUUUUCCUCUUCCCCUUUCCUUCCUCCCAUUUCUACAGAGCAUCUACCAUGUGCUGUGUACCAGGUGUGUGAUAGGUUCAGAGGUCCGAGGUAAACCUGACAUUUCCCCAUACUCCAGAAGCUUUCAUAGGAGAGGGGACAAAACCCUUCUUCCUUUCAUUUUGCUGGCUUUUCUUUUGGUGAGAAUCAGCCAUGUCCCAGGGGACAGUGCUGGUGGUGCUCCCGAGGUAACGAGCUGCAGGCAGGUGUCCCACUCCGCACAAGUGAUUUUGAGGUGCCUUGGUUCACACUGAGGCCCAGGGUCACCAUGAAGAGAUCUGUGUCCAGAUAUAAGGAAGAGACAACCUGUUGCUUCUUGGGACACAACUAUAGAGGGACAGUCUUCUACACAGUGACAGCCACCCCCUACAGUGACAGCCACUGACAGGGGUGUCCAACCCAUGGCCCAUGGGCCACAUGCAGCCCAGAUGGCUGUGAAUGUGGCCCAACACAAAAUCUUAAAUUUACUUAAAACCUUUUUUUUUGCUCAUUAGUUUUUGUUAGUGUUUGUGUAUUUAAUGUGUGGCCCAAGAGAACUCUUCUUCUUCCAUUGUGGCCCAGAGACACUAAAAGUUUGGACACCCCUGGAUCUCUUAUAACCCAUCUCUGCCCAGGUAGGGAGAAUCUAGGGAAUCACUUCCUAAACCUAAAAAGAAAAAAACACCCUCUCAA
This is a long non-coding RNA of Phyllostomus discolor (pale spear-nosed bat), 2601 nucleotides long. RefSeq lists it as uncharacterized. NCBI's taxonomy places the organism in Eukaryota, Metazoa, Chordata, Mammalia, Chiroptera, Phyllostomidae. The record is from RefSeq and is a predicted model, not a curated record. The transcript is spliced from 2 exons.